Molecule: ribosomal RNA, 468 nt
Filed under: uncultured bacterium
Lineage: Bacteria
Description: partial 16S ribosomal RNA
Rfam family: Bacterial small subunit ribosomal RNA
Source: RNAcentral
GACGAACGCUGGCGGCGUGCUUAACACAUGCAAGUCGAACGGAAAGGCCCUGCUUUUGUGGGGUGCUCGAGUGGCGAACGGGUGAGUAACACGUGAGUAACCUGCCCUUGACUUUGGGAUAACUUCAGGAAACUGGGGCUAAUACCGGAUAGGAGCUCCUGCUGCAUGGUGGGGGUUGGAAAGUUUCGGCGGUUGGGGAUGGACUCGCGGCUUAUCAGCUUGUUGGUGGGGUAGUGGCUUACCAAGGCUUUGACGGGUAGCCGGCCUGAGAGGGUGACCGGCCACAGUGGGACUGAGAUACGGCCCAGACUCCUACGGGAGGCAGCAGUGGGGAAUAUUGCACAAUGGGCGGAAGCCUGAUGCAGCAACGCCGCGUGCGGGAUGACGGCCUUCGGGUUGUAAACCGCUUUCGCCUGUGACGAAGCGUGAGUGACGGUAAUGGGUAAAGAAGCACCGGCUAUCUACGUG